Raphanus sativus (radish) is the source of this 944-nucleotide long non-coding RNA. RefSeq lists it as uncharacterized. NCBI's taxonomy places the organism in Eukaryota, Viridiplantae, Streptophyta, Magnoliopsida, Brassicales, Brassicaceae. The record is from RefSeq and is a predicted model, not a curated record. The transcript is spliced from 3 exons.
UUUAGUCACAUACUUUCAAAGUCAUCCGUAUCAGCGGUGCUGGCUGCAUCAUCAUUGAACGGUGAAGAACUAGUGAGAGAUGGUGGUGCACAGCUUCUUUCGACUCUUCUUUCCCACUGCAUGUGUGUAGUUCAGCCAACAACUUCACAACAUGAACCAGCUGCUGUAAUCAUUGUCACAAAUGUGAUGCGUGCAUUUGCUGUAGUAAGUCAGUUUGAGAGUGCAAGGACUGGAAUUCUAGAGCUAUCCCAGUCUGUUUGAAGACAUUGUGCACUGUACUGAGAACUUGCUUACAAAGUAUCUGGAUUUGGCUUCAUCUAAAGAGAGAUUAUUACCUCUCGUUGGAUGUUUUUCAGUGCCCAUUGCAUCAAAAACUGAAAUUCCAAAACUCUACAUCAUUGUCCUAUCUCGCUUUACUGAUUAUCUGACAGAUCUUGUCUUCUUCUCAUUUUGCAAAUGUUUCAUUCUGCAACUUCUUUUCGUGAGGGUGCUCUCCAUGUUCUUUAUGCUUUGGCAGGCACACAGGAACUUGCUUGGGCUGCUCCAAAACAUGGUGGUGUAGUAUACAUUCUGGAACUUUGCCUUUGCAAAGGAAGAAGCUUGUCGCACGACCAAUGCAUGUGCCUAACACUAGUGAGAUUCCUUCCCGGCGGUCUUGUAUCCAUCAUUCGUAAUGGACCUGGAGAGGCUAUUGAUGCUUUUGAGCGGACCAUAGAGACUCUAGAACUUGUGUGGACUCUAGCAAUGACAACAUUUUUACCUGCACAGACUGAGAUCACGUGAACAACAGAAGGGUGGUGUAAUUGAAUUGGAUGUACCCGAGCAAUCUGGUCAAUCAGAAAUGAGAGACGAGCCACAAGUUAUUUUAUAUAUAUAUUUAAACUGAUAGAUGAAGCAGAGCAGUUGUGAAAGUUCUUUUGAGUUGAUAAACUUUUUAGUUUACA